RNAcentral lists this transfer RNA (72 nucleotides) under Candidatus Endomicrobiellum neotermitis. Its description in RNAcentral is "tRNA-Asn". It matches the Rfam family "tRNA". Rfam says of the family: Transfer RNA (tRNA) molecules are approximately 80 nucleotides in length. Their secondary structure includes four short double-helical elements and three loops (D, anti-codon, and T loops). Lineage: Bacteria; Pseudomonadati; Elusimicrobiota; Endomicrobiia; Endomicrobiales; Endomicrobiaceae. The record is from RNAcentral.
UCCGACGUAGCUCAAUGGUAGAGCGAUCGGCUGUUAACCGAUUGGUUGUUGGUUCGAGUCCAGCCGUCGGAG